GCCCAUAUAGCUCAGAUGGUAGAGCGUCACCUUGGUAAGGUGGAGGUCAGCGGUUCGAUUCCGCUUAUGGGCUCCA
This 76-nucleotide transfer RNA is filed under the name Proteiniclasticum ruminis. Its description in RNAcentral is "tRNA_Thr_GGT". It matches the Rfam family "tRNA". Rfam says of the family: Transfer RNA (tRNA) molecules are approximately 80 nucleotides in length. Their secondary structure includes four short double-helical elements and three loops (D, anti-codon, and T loops). Lineage: Bacteria; Bacillati; Bacillota; Clostridia; Eubacteriales; Clostridiaceae. The record is from RNAcentral. RNAcentral also lists the same sequence under 1 other name.